UUACCGUGUUGCUUACCUCUUAAUUGUAUGUUUUAUUUUCUACUGAGAGGUAGGCGUCAGUUCAAGGAGAGAUUAAAUGGAAGGUCUACACUACUUCCUGUGUGCCCGUCUUAGUGCUCAUUAUCUGUUUAGUCGUGACCGCCCUUGCAAGUGGACAGCGUGGAGCAGAUGAGGGCCGGUGGGUCAUACAUUCUUUUAUAUAAACCAACCAGAGUGUGAUGCGUUGAGUGUCAUAUUCCAGGAGAGAGAGAGAGCAGUGAUUGAUGUGAAAAACAUCCGUCAGACUUCAGUUAUCGUCAACUUCAGUUUGCUACCCUCG
Molecule: unclassified non-coding RNA, 319 nt
Filed under: Yarrowia lipolytica
Lineage: Eukaryota; Fungi; Ascomycota; Dipodascomycetes; Dipodascales
Source: RNAcentral